This 497-nucleotide ribosomal RNA is filed under the name uncultured bacterium. Its description in RNAcentral is "partial 16S ribosomal RNA". It matches the Rfam family "Bacterial small subunit ribosomal RNA", at positions 28 to 507 of the family's 1533-position model. The record is from RNAcentral.
GCUGAACGCUGGCGGCGUGCCUAAUACAUGCAAGUCGAGCGAACAGACGAGGAGCUUGCUCCUCUGACGUUAGCGGCGGAAGGGUGAGUAACACGUGGAUAACCUACCUAUAAGACUGGGAUAACUUCGGGAAACCGGAGCUAAUACCGGAUAAUAUUUUGAACCGCAUGGUUAAAUAGUGAAAGACGGUUUUGCUGUCACUUAUAGAUGGAUCAGCGCCGCAUUAGCUAGUUGGUAAGGUAACGGCUUACCAAGGCAACGGUGCGUAGCCGACCUGAGAGGGUGAUCGGGCACACGGGAACUGAGACACGGUCCAGACCCCUACGGGAGGCAGCAGUAGGGAAUCUUCCGCAAUGGGCGAAAGCUUGACGGAGCAACGCCGCGUGAGUGAUGAAGGUCUUCGGAUCGUAAAACUCUGUUAUUAGGGAAGAACAAAUGUGUAAGUAACUAUGCACGUCUUGACGGUACCUAAUCAGAAAGCCAGGGCUAACUACGUG